UCGAGGAUCUUCGGCAAUGGGCGCAAGCCUGACCGAGCGACGCCGCGUGCGGGAUGAAGGCCUUCGGGUUGUAAACCGCUGUCGAGGGGGAGGAAGCUCCGCAAGGGGUUGACCUAUCCCUGGAGGAAGCACGGGCUAAGUUCGUGCCAGCAGCCGCGGUAAGACGAACCGUGCGAACGUUGUUCGGAAUCACUGGGCUUAAAGGGCGCGUAGGCGGUCGAUCAAGUCUGGGGUGAAAUCUUUCGGCUUAACCGGAAAAGAGCCUGGGAUACUGAUCGGCUGGAGGGGGGUAGGGGCAGCUGGAACUUCCGGUGGAGCGGUGAAAUGCGUUGAUAUCGGAAGGAACGCCGGUGGCGAAAGCGAGCUGCUAGACCCUUACUGACGCUGAGGCGCGAAAGCCAGGGGAGCAAACGGGAUUAGAUACCCGCGUAGUCC
RNAcentral lists this ribosomal RNA (435 nucleotides) under uncultured bacterium. RNAcentral describes it as "bacterial SSU rRNA". It matches the Rfam family "Bacterial small subunit ribosomal RNA", at positions 355 to 796 of the family's 1533-position model. The record is from RNAcentral.